GGGGUGUACUCAGAGGAGGGGGCCUGAAGAAUGGCUCCUAUGUUAAAACACUCUCAACAGAAUCUGGGGUCAUUGUGAUGACAGGCACAAAACUUGUGGCCUCCCUAGAAACAAACUCUCUACAUGU
Otolemur garnettii (small-eared galago) is the source of this 127-nucleotide small nucleolar RNA. Lineage: Eukaryota; Metazoa; Chordata; Mammalia; Primates; Galagidae. The record is from Ensembl.